Cygnus olor (mute swan) is the source of this 2328-nucleotide long non-coding RNA. RefSeq lists it as uncharacterized. NCBI's taxonomy places the organism in Eukaryota, Metazoa, Chordata, Aves, Anseriformes, Anatidae. The record is from RefSeq and is a predicted model, not a curated record. The transcript is spliced from 3 exons.
GUGCAGCAGCUAACAAGUGGCCUGGGGACACCACAGAGGUGGGACAGGAUGGUGGGGACUUGAGGGUUCAGCUACUGGGCCUGGGCGUGUUGUGCAUUCAGCCCUUCCAGCAUCCUCCUCCAGGUACAAGAUGGGAAGACACAGCUCACCCCAGUCCUGCCUGUGCAGGUUUUCUCCCACCCUUGCUGUUGGAGUGGGUGUGCUGCUUCUGUCCGCAGCAUCCCUGGCUCUGCCCUAUAGGAUGCCUGCUUGGUCCCUAUCCUUCUAUUCAGUAUAAGAAGAGGAAAAACACUUCGAACACUUUGCAUUUGCUUGUAAUGCCUCUUUGACACCGUAUCACAAGAGCCUGGGAGCUGUCAGAGCCAUAACGUGCAACAUCAAAUUAACAUUUGUGUUUUCUGAAAUGGUAAUUAUACCCUUUUGUACUGUGCUGAGCUUGUAUUUUUUGAAGUGUAAACGUGGAAGUGACAUCGAAGGUGUAUUUCUGAGCCAACAGUAUGGGGCAUUUGCCCAAGAGCUCGGUGGGGAGGCUUCUGCAGAUCCAGCAGACCACAAGUUGAACAUGAACCAGCAAGGCUUGGCACAGGACUGUUGUGGCUCACAGGCAGCCACAGCUGUGAAAUUUGUGUCCUUUCAAAAAUGACUCAGAGCAUCCCCUGAUGGACAGCAGAGUGUGGUUCUUGGCCCAGCGGGAGCAAGUCUGGAAGCCAAACAUUUAAGCUUGGGUUUGAUAAAUGGGCUGAUACGGCACAGUGCCUGCAGGGGCAGGAGGCUGCACGCAGUGAUGUGCACGCUUUCAUUCAGUCUUUGUUCUCAUUAGCAUGUGAAGACUGGCCAGAAAUCCAUCACCCAUUCAAGGUAGAUAGAAGACACCUGAUAAGGUAGAGAAGGCAGAGCCAUUAACCUGAAGAAACAGACUGAUGUUUUCUUCCUGCUGAAGCCUAUCACAACAGAUGACAAGAGACACAGACAUGUCCUGGGUGCAGUCUCUAAUCAUGCAGAAGGGGAAGCAAUGCUGCACAGCACUAAACCGGUUACUUCAGUAGCAGCAGGCUUGAAAGAGAGCAUCUCUGCCUACCUGUGAUGCGUGUAAGGCCUCCAUCACUUUCGUCUCUUUCAUGCUGAACUUGCAACAGCUCUGUGAAGCUGAGCGGUGCUGUCAGUCCCCCAUCACAGCAGGCAAACAAAGUGCCUGCAUACCUUCAGACACCUUUUCUCCCUGCUGUGGCUGAAUGUACAAUACAGAAGGAGAGGUACACCACGGUGGGGAGCCUGGAGCUGAAGUGGGAGUGGUGGGAAAGCCCUUUGUGUGCCACAUUGUGAUGGGACCUCCACCCUGAGAGAGACUGAUUGCUGGGCUGAGGCUGAAGGCCGAGGUCACAUCCAUAAAUGAGGGUCAGCUCUGGCGCUUGUGGACAUGGGUACCUGGGUACCGCCCGCCCAAAGAAGGCUGCACUCUGCAGGGGGACACCGUGUACCAUGCGGGGGGCAGCACUCCCUUAUGUUCCCUUUUCGUCCUGUGAAGCAAGCACUGUGCUGGUGGCACCACUGCUUCCUCUGGUAGUCCAGUGAGUCUCACCUGUGGCCAAAGGUGAGGUAUUUUAAAAAGUAAGACUGGGAAGAUAAAAAAGAGGACCAGUCUUUUAGCAACACAAAGCCGUCUGCUCUCACAGAAACUGUAGGUGCACACCUUUUUGUUCUUUCCCCUCUAUGCCCAGCAUUUCCAAACAAAGGCCAGGAUAUAUUCUUCCUCUGGACCCUGAAGGGCAGAUAAUCACAUGCCUUUCAGGCAGCUGCCUCCUGACAUGUACUGAGCAUGGACCUUGUGUGCAUACACCCCUGUGUAACAUGUCUGCAAAGCAAGUAACAGACACUUCUCUUUCGGGCUAUCUGCGUCAGUGUAAAAAUGGUACUGCACAAAUGCAUCCAAUACCUUCACCUACCAUUUUAGAGCUCUUCACAAGAUUUAUGAGCUGUUGGACUUCUACACACAUUUCGUAUUGCCAUAGCUACUAAUUAUUAAUAACACCCUGCAACGAAGGCUAACAGCGUGCCUCUGGAGGGAGGGGAAGUUCUGUAGCUUUUGGCUCUGGCCACAGCGUUAUUCAGCAUCAAACCUGAAGUCUCCUGAUCGGCCCAAGACAUGGAAACUGCCCCUUUCAGCCUGCAAUGAAGCAGGGCAUAUCUGUACGGGAGUUCACCACCUCUUUGCACCCCUACCCCAUUGGCUUUCUCUCCUUAUGGAAGGGGUUAAGCAUUAAUAUGCCUCCACUGUUCCCUGUCUUUUCUUGUGAUGCUGAGGUGGCCAUUCAGGCAGCUCCACUAUUA